UGGCUCCAUGGUCAAGCGGUUAAGACGCGACCCUCUCAAGGUCGAAUCACGAGUUCGAUUCUCGUUGGAGUCAU
RNAcentral lists this transfer RNA (74 nucleotides) under Anaerostipes hadrus. Its description in RNAcentral is "tRNA-Glu(ctc)". It matches the Rfam family "tRNA". Rfam says of the family: Transfer RNA (tRNA) molecules are approximately 80 nucleotides in length. Their secondary structure includes four short double-helical elements and three loops (D, anti-codon, and T loops). Lineage: Bacteria; Bacillati; Bacillota; Clostridia; Lachnospirales; Lachnospiraceae. The record is from RNAcentral. RNAcentral also lists the same sequence under 3 other names.